Molecule: long non-coding RNA, 249 nt
Filed under: Gossypium raimondii (Peruvian cotton)
Lineage: Eukaryota; Viridiplantae; Streptophyta; Magnoliopsida; Malvales; Malvaceae
Description: long non-coding RNA (GRAI_LNC003081)
Source: RNAcentral
UCUUCAUCUGCUCCGUCGUAAUCGAAGUUGAGCGAAGGUUGGGAGGCCAUAGAUUGGCCUGUUUGCUGAGCGGCGCAUGGCUAGGGUUAGCCAUUUGUUUUCAAAAGUAGUCAUUAGGUUUUUUUAUUAUUAUUUUUAGUUUAUAAGUGCUGAGCAACGGCACCGUUUGGGACCUAGGUCAAUGGUUUCAAAACGGUGUCGUGUUGGCCUUGACCUGCGCGGUGACCCAACCCAGGGGAAAGAUCCGCG